GUCAUGAUAAACCAAAGCCCUCAAUAUGCCUCAAUAGUCAAAGAUGAAGUUCACUGUGUGAGGCAUUGCUUGGGUUGCAAAAUAAGGGGAGACCUUUCUUUCCUAUUGGCCUCUUGGGAUUGGGGUUUCUCUCCAAUUCUUACAAGCAUAUAACAAUUCCUUUGGAAAACGAGUUUACUCAUAUAAUUCUCUGGCAAAAAAAGCUUGGAAGUAAUCACCCCAUCAGUUACUUGCAAAACAAGUAUAAAAUUCGGAAUCUGAUUCAGCUGAGAGCUGACAAAAUGGGACUCUCUCUCUCUGUCUGUCUUUCAAAAGGGUAGUGGAGAGAGAGAGAGAGGAGAGUGGAGGGACAGUCUCAGCCAAGGAAGCAACAAAACCUGUAGCAAAUCUCAUUUGCAGAAAGAGAGAGGGAUGAGCUGGUUUAGGGAGUUCGAAUACACUAUCCUUGUGCAAACUGUGCGUCAAUUUCAUCCGCCACGUACACAUGCUUUUGGUACGGGUUGAAUCUGCAGGGCACUGCUCCAUAUUAAAUAUCAAAAGUAAUAUAUUCUGACCCUCCCGAGCAGGAUCCUGAAACAUAUUUACUG
This 587-nucleotide long non-coding RNA is filed under the name Theobroma cacao (cacao). RNAcentral describes it as "long non-coding RNA (TCAC_LNC001471)". The record is from RNAcentral. Lineage: Eukaryota; Viridiplantae; Streptophyta; Magnoliopsida; Malvales; Malvaceae.